This is a long non-coding RNA of Neopelma chrysocephalum (saffron-crested tyrant-manakin), 434 nucleotides long. RefSeq lists it as uncharacterized. Lineage: Eukaryota; Metazoa; Chordata; Aves; Passeriformes; Pipridae. The record is from RefSeq and is a predicted model, not a curated record. The transcript has 4 exons.
CAGGGAGUGGAAGAACUGUGAAAAAGGCUGACUACCAAUCAGGUGAAGUCACCACAGGGAUGCUUUGCAGUUGUUAAUGAUCCAAAUUUUCAACCAGGAAGGAAAUCAGUGUUCUUAUGUACUCACGAGACCCUCAAGAUUUCCUUAGCAACGUGAUCCGGAGAAAUCAUAUCAAGACCACAGGUUAAAUGUGUGACACUCGGGCAUCAUUAAGUUCUUAAUCUCUGUCAAGGAAGGAAAGAGGAAGUCAGAGGAGAGAACACUGCUAAGGGCCCUGCCCUUGGAAGGCAUUUUAUUUAAAAUACUGAAGCAAGGAGGAGCAGUCUUUAACAUCACUUACAAAUCAGCUGGAUGCUAUAGAUCCCUCAACACCCUUUAUAUCAUCCCAUUUAAUUUACUACAUGCUACUCUAAAAGGAGAAAAACAUACACUAG